UCCCUGGUGGCUCAGAGGUUAAAGCGUCUGCCUCCAAUGCAGGAGACCCGGGUUCAACCCCUGGGUUGGGAA
This 72-nucleotide transfer RNA is filed under the name Ovis aries (sheep). It matches the Rfam family "tRNA". Rfam says of the family: Transfer RNA (tRNA) molecules are approximately 80 nucleotides in length. Their secondary structure includes four short double-helical elements and three loops (D, anti-codon, and T loops). Further hydrogen bonds mediate the characteristic L-shaped molecular structure. tRNAs have two regions of fundamental functional importance: the anti-codon, which is responsible for specific mRNA codon recognition, and the 3' end, to which the tRNAs corresponding amino acid is attached (by aminoacyl-tRNA synthetases). tRNAs cope with the degeneracy of the genetic code in two manners: having more than one tRNA (with a specific anti-codon) for a particular amino acid; and 'wobble' base-pairing, i.e. permitting non-standard base-pairing at the 3rd anti-codon position. Lineage: Eukaryota; Metazoa; Chordata; Mammalia; Artiodactyla; Bovidae. The record is from Rfam by way of RNAcentral.